CUGGACAACAAAGCAAGACACUGUUGCAAAAAAAAAAAAAAGAAAAGAAAAAGAAAAAAGAAUUAUCAACUCUUACUGUCCCUGAACAUUGAAGAUCAAGAGAUCAAUGACAUUCUAAAUGUUGGAAUUUACAGUCUUCCAGUCUCCUGGACCACAAUGUACAGUUAAUAGAUCUUUCCAAGCUUUAUGGUACUGAAUCCCUAAUUAGCAUUCCACUGAAGAGCUCUUAAGGAACUGAAAAGGAACUGCUGCGUACCACUCCUGCUGAUGGGUAAUUAACAAGUAUUCACAAGUAUUGCACUUACCUCCAAGAAAAACACCUGCAAGUUUGUAUUCUCC
RNAcentral lists this long non-coding RNA (339 nucleotides) under Homo sapiens (human). RNAcentral describes it as "HSALNT0374861". Lineage: Eukaryota; Metazoa; Chordata; Mammalia; Primates; Hominidae. The record is from RNAcentral.